GUGCCAGCAGCCGCGGUAAUACCGGCAGCUCAAGUGAUGUCCCAUAUUAUUGGGCCUAAAGCGUCCGUAGCUGGCCGACCAAGUCUCCCGGGAAAUCCACCCGCUCAACGGGUGGGCGUCCGGUAGAUACUGGCCGGCUUGGAACCGGAAUGCUCAGAGAGUACGUCCGGGGUAGGAGUGAAAUCCCGUAAUCCCGGACGGACUACCGAUGGCGAAAGCACUCUGAGAAGACGGCUUCGACAGUGAGGGACGAAAGCCAGGGUCUCCAACCGGAUUAGAAACCCUAGUAGUCC
RNAcentral lists this ribosomal RNA (293 nucleotides) under uncultured bacterium. Its description in RNAcentral is "partial 16S ribosomal RNA". It matches the Rfam family "Archaeal small subunit ribosomal RNA", at positions 455 to 747 of the family's 1478-position model. The record is from RNAcentral.